This 519-nucleotide ribosomal RNA is filed under the name uncultured bacterium. RNAcentral's name for it is "bacterial SSU rRNA". It matches the Rfam family "Bacterial small subunit ribosomal RNA", at positions 791 to 1310 of the family's 1533-position model. The record is from RNAcentral.
UAGUCCACGCCGUAAACGAUGAGAACUAGAUGUCGGGGGAAUCUGUCCUUCGGUGUCGCAGCUAACGCGUUAAGUUCUCCGCCUGGGGAGUACGCCGGCAACGGUAAAACUCAAAGGAAUUGACGGGGACCCGCACAAGCGGUGGAGCAUGUGGUUUAAUUCGAUGCAACGCGAAGAACCUUACCUGCCCUUGACAUUGACAGAACCUUUUGGAGACAGAAGGGUGCCUUCGGGCCUGGAAAACAGGUGCUGCAUGGCUGUCGUCAGCCCGUGUCGUGGGAUGUUGGGUUAAGUCCCGUAACGAGCGCAACCCUUGUCCUUAGUUGCCAGCACGUAAUGGUGGGGACUCUAAGGAGACUGCCGGUGACAAACCGGAGGAAGGUGGGGACGACGUCAAGUCAUCAUGGCCCUUAUGGGUAGGGCUACACACGUGCUACAAUGGGCAGUACAGAGGGUUGCGAAGCCGCGAGGUGAAGCUAAUCUCAGAAAACUGUUCGUAGUCCGGAUUGCACUCUGCAA